GAAUCCUGCUCUUCCCA
RNAcentral lists this unclassified non-coding RNA (17 nucleotides) under Mus musculus (house mouse). RNAcentral describes it as "oocyte_clustered_small_RNA11555". Lineage: Eukaryota; Metazoa; Chordata; Mammalia; Rodentia; Muridae. The record is from RNAcentral.